This 253-nucleotide ribosomal RNA is filed under the name uncultured bacterium. RNAcentral describes it as "partial 16S ribosomal RNA". It matches the Rfam family "Bacterial small subunit ribosomal RNA", at positions 524 to 776 of the family's 1533-position model. The record is from RNAcentral.
UACGGAGGGUGCAAGCGUUAUCCGGAUUUACUGGGGUUAAAGGGUGCGUAGGUGGAUUUGUAAGUCAGUGGUGAAAUCUCCGGGCUUAACCCGGAAACUGCCAUUGAUACUAUAAGUCUUGAAUUAUCUGGAGGUAAGCGGAAUAUGUCAUGUAGCGGUGAAAUGCUUAGAUAUGACGUAGAACACCAAUUGCGAAGGCAGCUUACUACGGAUAUAUUGACACUGAGGCACGAAAGCGUGGGGAUCAAACAGG